AACGAACGCUGGCGGCAUGCCUAACACAUGCAAGUCGAACGAUGCCUUCGGGCAUAGUGGCGCACGGGUGCGUAACGCGUGGGAAUCUGCCUUUCGGUUCGGAAUAACUCAGGGAAACUUGAGCUAAUACCGGAUAACGUCGCAAGACCAAAGAUUUAUCACCGAAAGAUGAGCCCGCGUAGGAUUAGCUAGUUGGUGAGGUAAAGGCUCACCAAGGCGACGAUCCUUAGCUGGUCUGAGAGGAUGAUCAGCCACACUGGGACUGAGACACGGCCCAGACUCCUACGGGAGGCAGCAGUGGGGAAUAUUGGACAAUGGGCGGAGGCCUGAUCCAGCCAUGCCGCGUGAGUGAUGAAGGCCUUAGGGUUGUAAAGCUCUUUUACCCGGGAAGAUAAUGACGGUACCGGGAGAAUAAGCCCCGGCUAACUCCGUG
This 433-nucleotide ribosomal RNA is filed under the name uncultured bacterium. Its description in RNAcentral is "partial 16S ribosomal RNA". It matches the Rfam family "Bacterial small subunit ribosomal RNA", at positions 29 to 507 of the family's 1533-position model. The record is from RNAcentral.